Molecule: ribosomal RNA, 373 nt
Filed under: uncultured bacterium
Lineage: Bacteria
Description: bacterial SSU rRNA
Rfam family: Bacterial small subunit ribosomal RNA
Source: RNAcentral
AUACGGAGGGUGCAAGCGUUAAUCGGAAUCACUGGGCGUAAAGCGCGCGUAGGCGGCCUUUUAAGUCGGACGUGAAAGCCCUCGGCUCAACCGGGGAAUUGCGUUCGAUACUGGGAGGCUUGAGUCCUGGAGAGGGUGGCGGAAUUCCGGGUGUAGGAGUGAAAUCCGUAGAUAUCCGGAGGAACACCGGUGGCGAAGGCGGCCACCUGGACAGGUACUGACGCUGAGGCGCGAAAGCGUGGGGAGCAAACAGGAUUAGAUACCCUGGUAGUCCACGCCGUAAACGAUGGAUGCUAGGUGUCGGGGAGCGAUCUUCGGUGCCGCAGUUAACGCAUUAAGCAUCCCGCCUGGGGAGUACGGUCGCAAGGCUGAA